AGCACUGAGGGAUCAUCAUGGACAUCAGGCCCAGAGCCAUGAAGGACACCACCUGAAACAGACACAUUCAGUGUCUCUAUUAUUUCUGUUUCUAAUGGACAUGGCUGCCUGUUUCAUAGGCCACAGCUGCAAACUUCGGAACAGCAGAACAGGAAGACCAAACGCAUAUAAGUCAGACCCUCCCACUCCCCUCAGUCCGGACCCCCAAAUCAGAUCCAAAACAUUUAACCGCCCUCUGAAGUCUUUUCUGAACUUGUGAAAUAUUUGCUCUGCUUUGAAGGGCUCUACAUUCAUAAUGACCAUAGGAUAGGCAUGUUUAGGGAUACAGAGAGGCCAUACAGGAGAGGUUUCCUGAGGUGGUCGAGCCAAUACAAAGACCGGGGCUGUGUUUACAUCUGGCCCCGGGCCUGAAACAACAGGCCUGACAGAGGGAGGCCGGAGCUGGAACAUCCGACAUCUGGAUAGAGGGAGAUCAACUUCACAGCUCCACGCUGCAGCUUUACACAUCAUCCUCAUCCUUCACUAUCUCACCAUUUCACACCAAAGUCGACCAUAUGUCAACAUUUUUUUAAAAUACCAUGAAUUUUGGAUUCCAAUUAUCAUGAAAAGCAAAGUUACUGUGCUUUAAAAUCACAUUUUCCCUUUUUUACGGUAAAAAAUAAACAGUGUUAUUUUACCUAGCCUGCAAACUGGCAUUAGAGGUGCACUUUUCGCCAGAAUGUUUGUUUGGUCGCUCGUUUAACAAGCUUAGGUGCCUGUCAAUCAUAAUUCACAUAAAUCACAAUAUUUUGAAAAAAAGUCAGAUAAUCGUGUGUCUGACACACUGAUUAACUGACUUUUUUUCAAAAUAUUGUACCCUUUUAACUUAACAUAACCCAAUUCAGGGUAGGAGCAAAUACACGUGUGUACUUAUAAUUUGA
Perca fluviatilis (European perch) is the source of this 920-nucleotide long non-coding RNA. RefSeq lists it as uncharacterized. Lineage: Eukaryota; Metazoa; Chordata; Actinopteri; Perciformes; Percidae. The transcript has 2 exons. The record is from RefSeq and is a predicted model, not a curated record.